UACGGGGGGGAGCAAGCGUUGUUCGGAUUUACUGGGCGUAAAGGGCGCGUAGGCGGCAAUUCAAGUCAUCUGUGAAAUCUCCGGGCUUAACUCGGGACGGUCAGAUGAUACUGCUUUGCUAGAGUGCGGAAGGGGCAAUCGGAAUUCUCGGUGUAGCGGUGAAAUGCGUAGAUAUCGAGAGGAACACCAGAGGUGAAGACGGGUUGCUGGGCCGACACUGACGCUGAGGCGCGAAAGCCAGGGGAGCAAACGGG
RNAcentral lists this ribosomal RNA (254 nucleotides) under uncultured bacterium. Its description in RNAcentral is "partial 16S ribosomal RNA". It matches the Rfam family "Bacterial small subunit ribosomal RNA", at positions 524 to 776 of the family's 1533-position model. The record is from RNAcentral.